AUGAACGCUGGCGGCGUGCCUAAUACAUGCAAGUCGAGCGAACGGACGAGAAGCUUGCUUCUCUGAUGUUAGCGGCGGACGGGUGAGUAACACGUGGAUAACCUACCUAUAAGACUGGGAUAACUUCGGGAAACCGUAGCUAAUACCGGAUAAUAUUUUGAACCGCAUGGUUCAAAAGUGAAAGACGGUCUUGCUGUCACUUAUAGAUGGAUCCGCGCUGCAUUAGCUAGUUGGUAAGGUAACGGCUUACCAAGGCAACGAUGCAUAGCCGACCUGAGAGGGUGAUCGGCCACACUGGAACUGAGACACGGUCCAGACCCCUACGGGAGGCAGCAGUAGGGAAUCUUCCGCAAUGGGCGAAAGCCUGACGGAGCAACGCCGCGUGAGUGAUGAAGGUCUUCGGAUCGUAAAACUCUGUUAUUAGGGAAGAACAUAUGUGUAAGUAACUGUGCACAUCUUGACGGUACCUAAUCAGAAAGCCACGGCUAACUACGUG
RNAcentral lists this ribosomal RNA (496 nucleotides) under uncultured bacterium. RNAcentral's name for it is "partial 16S ribosomal RNA". It matches the Rfam family "Bacterial small subunit ribosomal RNA", at positions 29 to 507 of the family's 1533-position model. The record is from RNAcentral.